AGUUCUUUUGGUGGAGUUAUACUUGGAUUAGUUCUUGAGGGUCAUAUUAAGCAUUGUAGAUGAGUGUAUCAUGAAUGUAUCAAGAUUGUAGAAUGUAUCGAGAAUGUAUCACUUCUCUUUUUCUUGAGUGACUAUUUACUUGAUUAAGCUUGUUAAUAGCAUUUGCACUUCCAUAUGGCCUUCAUGGUUUUGUAAACAUCAAAAUAACAUAAUGACUCUCAUGUAGUUUGUGUCAUUAAAGAGUGGUGGUCUAUUUGUGGAUUGCCCUUCGACAAUAGAGGUUCCUAAUGGAGCUGCCAUGAUCUUUAACUCUUGAUGGUUAGAUCAAAGAGGGUUUAGUACCGGCUCUAAUACCACUUGUUGCCCAGAUAUGUAGCCCAAGAGGUUAGUGAAUUGGGUUUUAAAAUUUUAUCUAGAAUGCAGCAGAUAAAAUAUAAUUCCAAUUUGAAAGAUAGAAGUGCUUAAACGAUGAAUGAAUAAUGGCAGAGAUUAAAGUGCAACAAUAUAAAGAGAUAGGCA
Molecule: long non-coding RNA, 519 nt
Filed under: Phoenix dactylifera (date palm)
Lineage: Eukaryota; Viridiplantae; Streptophyta; Magnoliopsida; Arecales; Arecaceae
Description: long non-coding RNA (PDAC_LNC012537)
Source: RNAcentral